Molecule: ribosomal RNA, 582 nt
Filed under: uncultured bacterium
Lineage: Bacteria
Description: partial 16S ribosomal RNA
Rfam family: Bacterial small subunit ribosomal RNA
Source: RNAcentral
UGGGGAAUUUUGGACAAUGGGGGAAACCCUGAUCCAGCCAUCCCGCGUGUGCGAUGAAGGCCUUCGGGUUGUAAAGCACUUUUGGCAGGAAAGAAACGUCGCGGGUUAAUACCCCGCGGAACUGACGGUACCUGCAGAAUAAGCACCGGCUAACUACGUGCCAGCAGCCGCGGUAAUACGUAGGGUGCAAGCGUUAAUCGGAAUUACUGGGCGUAAAGCGUGCGCAGGCGGUUCGGAAAGAAAGAUGUGAAAUCCCAGAGCUUAACUUUGGAACUGCAUUUUUAACUACCGGGCUAGAGUGUGUCAGAGGGAGGUGGAAUUCCGCGUGUAGCAGUGAAAUGCGUAGAUAUGCGGAGGAACACCGAUGGCGAAGGCAGCCUCCUGGGAUAACACUGACGCUCAUGCACGAAAGCGUGGGGAGCAAACAGGAUUAGAUACCCUGGUAGUCCACGCCCUAAACGAUGUCAACUAGCUGUUGGGGGUCUUCGGACCUUGGUAGCGCAGCUAACGCGUGAAGUUGACCGCCUGGGGGAGUACGGUCGCAAGAUUAAAACUUAAGUGAAUUGACGGGGGUCAUAGCUG